Long non-coding RNA from Lagopus muta (rock ptarmigan), 1985 nucleotides. RefSeq lists it as uncharacterized. The transcript is spliced from 3 exons. Lineage: Eukaryota; Metazoa; Chordata; Aves; Galliformes; Phasianidae. The record is from RefSeq and is a predicted model, not a curated record.
AUGAUCUCCUGUUGGGGAUUUCUCCCUUGUGUUGUUUUCCUCACAAGUCUAGAUCUGAGUUGGCAGCGCUUGGAAUUCAUGAUUGACUAAAACUCAGAAAUGAAUUUAUAAGUAAACCUACUCACUGGUUUUACUUCACAAAAAAAUCAAAUUGGUUUUUAUUUUUAUUCAAGUAAAUGUGGAAUGAUGUACUAACAUACAUUGAUGUACAGUGAAGAGCAAUAUUAAACUGACUGGAGAAGGUUCAAUUUAGAGAAAAAUGCCACCUUUCAUCGGUUAAGAGGAUAUAUCAGCAGAAUGAAAGAAGGAAGAGCCAUGGGAAUGGGACGUGUUCCAACAGGAUGUAAGCUGUAAAAAUACACACCAGGAAGAGAAAGGAAGCAGUGGGGUGUUUCAGUUACACUGUGUAUCUGCAUGAAGGUCAUGUCAGAGAGAAGAGUGGAAGACUGGAGAGGAAUGCCUGGAAAGCAUGACGGCAUCACCAACCCACACAAAAGGAAAAUGUGGAUGCCCCAUCCUUGGAGGCAUUCAAGGCCAGGCUGGAUGUGGCUCUGGAGAGCCUGGUUUGCUGGUUGGCGAUCCUGCUCACAGCAGGGGGGUGUUGAAACCAGGUGAUCAUUCUGGAUGUUUUCAACCCAGGCCAUUCUAUGAACAACUCUCAUACACCCACGCUUACAAUCAAUGUGCAUUUUGAGCUGUAUUCACGUUUACAGAAAUUGAUUCAAGGCCCCAUAUCACCACCACAGCUAAUUUCCAUCGGAAUACAAUGUUUCCUUAAUUAAGCAAGGCACGCAGCUGAUGGCCGUUUGGUUUGACUUAGAAAUGGCUAAUUAGUUAUCAAAUCCCUUAAUAGUUCAUGCUGAAGAUUCUGUCAUUACUUGUUGCUCCUCUCAAUCUUUAUUAUCACAAACCCUUUAAAAAUGCCUCAGCAGAAAAAAACCACCGUGCCCAUUAAUCCUUUCCAGGAAAGAACACCAGUACCAGAUUAAGUCAAACUGGCAUCUGAAGCUAUUCUUUUCUUUAUGUCACAUAGUAAGUGGUCGGUAAUCCACGUCUUAAUCUCCUUGUUGCACAGCUUGGUUUAUCGUAACUGAUACUCCUGUGACUGCUGCAGACCCCUAUUGUGUUACCUGCAGCACUCAGCUCUUCUUCCUGUUUUUUUCCCCUGGAAUGUCUGAUAAAGGCACCCUUGAAGUUGACCACAGUCUCCUGAGAAACUGCUUUUCAGAGAAAAUGUGACUACUUUAAAGAUGCACUUGUGUUACUUUUGGCUUUUCCCCUGAGCAAAGGCUCAACCAAUAUUUCUGCUUUCUGAUAACACGUGAAUUUAACUGCAGCUUACGGAAAGCCUCCUUUAAAUCCCCUAUUCUAGUUCAAUAUAUUUUUUGUCUCGGAUGUAAUUAUACCUCGUGUCAACGCUUGAACACCAGGGAAAAUAUAAAAAGCUGCAAGAAGUGAAAUUUCCCUUGACCAAUAAAUACAAAAUAAAAAUGCGGAUGACUUCUCCAUGUAGAAAUGAGAACAGACAUAAGUAUUUAGGUCCCCAAAAAUUAAGCAUUUCAUAAACUUUUUGGAAUUGGGGCCCUGGAAAGUUGGUAUUCUCUAAAUCUUAAGCCUUUAGGAAAAAAAACAGAUGUACUAAGCUCCAGACUUCAGAGCUCAGAACAGUUGCUGCAGAAACUCAGCAUCUUGAUUUGUGCUUAACUACUUUACAGUUCACAUAUUCCUUGUUUGAACUUUGCUAGGUGCAGUAAUUUUAUUCACGCUUGGGCUGGAUUGGUUCUGCUUAUUCAGACCUCGUUAAUUAUAAGAAACGGGACUCAAGCUCACAUAUCCCAUUCACCCAUCCUGCCCUCAGGGCAGUCAAAUUAUCUGGCAUUUAAUGAGGAGUUUUAGAUUUUGCAACUUAUCAGAAGUGGGCCCAGCAAGUGCAAACUGGUGAGUUCAAUGCAGAGGGACUUCUCUGGGACUUGCUUCAAAACAGA